Long non-coding RNA from Leguminivora glycinivorella, 785 nucleotides. RefSeq lists it as uncharacterized. NCBI's taxonomy places the organism in Eukaryota, Metazoa, Arthropoda, Insecta, Lepidoptera, Tortricidae. The transcript has 2 exons. The record is from RefSeq and is a predicted model, not a curated record.
AAUAUUUUUUCAAACCUCGUAGGUAUAUUUUUAUUUAGCUGAUAUUAUACUCAAGUAACUAUUGGUUUCGUACAGGCAGAGCCAUCUAUCGGCAGGAUUGUAUUGAUAACCCAGUUUGCUGUUAGCUAGAAUGACAAAAGAUGGCGUGUCGAUCGUCGUUAAUUUAUUUCCUUCCAAAAUCCCUUUUGAAUUUUCAUUUAUUAAAAAUAAAACUCAAUUUAUUAUUGUAUUGUUAGUUUUCGUUCCUUUUUGGAAAUAUUUUAUUACCCUCUUUAAGACAGAAGUUAAAGUUGUUGUCUAUAGGCGAAUGCAUCUCGUCACGUAUCUGUGGGCCGAGCUGUCAGCCGACACUUUGCAUAUUGGAAAGGAUGUAGACGGGUGGUUUUCAAAUUCUUCAGGGCCAAUGCGCCACAUUCUAAUUUUUAAAUCGCGAAUUAAUCGCAUAAUCGUAAGUAUUUUCUUCCAUAUUCGAAUGCAGUUUGUUGUGUUACGUUCAGUGCUAAUUCUUGUGUCCAUUAUUUUCAGAUGAUUUUAUUUUUAUAAAAUUACUGAGGACCCCUUCCAUUGACAUGAUUGCACGGAACCACAAGCCGGCUUCUUUUCUGGAAUGGGUCCUCAGAUUUGGAGGUUAACGUUCGAAGACAGAGCAGAGCUGAUGCUUCCCGAGCCUGGACCGGUGGACAGGAGGCUGUGACGAUCGGUAUGGAAGAGCUCCCAUUCCGUGGCUGCAGCGGCCACCUCUCCUCAACUCGGUUAGACGUCCCCAAGGUCAGAGCGUUCCUCGU